AAGUCGUAACAAGGUUUCCGUAGGUGAACCUGCGGAAGGAUCAUUGCAAAAAUGGAAGUGAGAAAUUUGUAGGAAUGUGUGCGAGACGAUAUUAGACAAUCAUUUUUACCAAUUCAUAUAUACAACUCUCCACAAUGGAUCUCUGGGCUCUU
This 152-nucleotide unclassified non-coding RNA is filed under the name fungal sp. Its description in RNAcentral is "partial internal transcribed spacer region". The stretch from base 1 to 46 matches the Rfam family "Eukaryotic small subunit ribosomal RNA", at positions 1786 to 1831 of the family's 1831-position model. Lineage: Eukaryota; Fungi. The record is from RNAcentral.